CUGGUUGAUCCUGCCAGUAACAUAUGCUUGUCUCAAAGACUAAGCCAUGCAUGCCUAAGUAUAAACUGAUUUAUAGUGAGACUGCGUACAGCUCAUUAUAUCAGCAAUUAUUUAUUUGAUGGUCCUUACCACUUGGAUAACCGUGGUAAUUCUAGAGCUAAUACAUGCGCAAAGGCCCGACUUUACGGAAGGGCUGUAUUUAUUAGAUUCAAAACCAACGCGAGCUCUUCGGGGUUCGGUCUGUUGGUGAUUCAUAAUAACUGAUCGGAUCGCAUAGCUUUAUGCUGGCGACAGUUCAUUCAAAUUUCUGCCCUAUCAGCUUGUCGGUAGGAUAAAGGCCUACGGAGGCUAUCACGGGUAACGGAGAAUUAGGGUUCGAUUCCGGAGAGGGAGCCAGAGAAACGGCUACCACAUCCAAGGAAGGCAGCAGGCGCGCAAAUUACCCACUCCUGACACAGGGAGGUAGUGACAAGAAAUAACAAUACCGGGCCUUUCCAGGUCUGGUAAUUGGAAUGAGUACAAUUUAAAUCCCUUAACGAGGAUCCACUGGAGGGCAAGUCUGGU
This 564-nucleotide ribosomal RNA is filed under the name uncultured eukaryote. RNAcentral's name for it is "bacterial SSU rRNA". It matches the Rfam family "Eukaryotic small subunit ribosomal RNA", at positions 4 to 565 of the family's 1831-position model. The record is from RNAcentral.